UACGUAGGGGGCAAGCGUUGUCCGGAUUUAUUGGGCCGUAAAGAGCGUGUAGGCGGUUUGGUAGGUCCGCUGUGAAAACUCGAGGCUCAACCUCCGAGACGCCGGUGGAAACCAUCAGACUAGAGUCCGGAAGAGGAGAGUGGAAUUCCGUGGUGUAGCGGUGAAAUGCGCAGAUAUCAGGAAGAACACCCGUGGCUAAGGCGGCUCUCUAGUACGGUACUGACGCUGAGACGCGAAAGCGUGGGGAGCGAACAGG
RNAcentral lists this ribosomal RNA (256 nucleotides) under uncultured bacterium. RNAcentral's name for it is "partial 16S ribosomal RNA". It matches the Rfam family "Bacterial small subunit ribosomal RNA", at positions 524 to 776 of the family's 1533-position model. The record is from RNAcentral.